Long non-coding RNA from Quercus robur (English oak), 2146 nucleotides. RefSeq lists it as uncharacterized. The transcript has 2 exons. The record is from RefSeq and is a predicted model, not a curated record. Lineage: Eukaryota; Viridiplantae; Streptophyta; Magnoliopsida; Fagales; Fagaceae.
AAACAAAUAGAACAUCCAAGAAGCCAUCUCCCUCUCUAGUUCCUACGGGUAAACACACAAAUCUGAAAUUUCAGCUCACUUUGCUCUCUUUUUCUCUCAAGGAAAGUGCUAGGAACUCUCUUAAGUCCCUUUUGUCAAACCCAUGGGUCCACACUUUGAAAGAAAGACAAGACUCCAUCCUAAUUCUUCUUUUAUGCUCUCUCAAAGUAAUUAGAACAUAUAUCCUCUUUUAAUGUGAUGGAUAUAACUUUAUAAAGGUAAGGAUAUAUAUAUAUAUAUAUGUACAUGCAAAGUGAUAUUAUUUUUGUAGAAAAGUGUGAGUGUGAAUGCAAGAAAUUAUUUUUGUAGAAGGGUGUGAGUGUGAAUGCAAGAAAAUUGGAAAAUGGGUGGUGAGAUUUUUCCUAAGCUCUACACGUAUUCCACCCAAAGUCCCCAUCUUUUAUCCCCUUUUUGCUGCCCCAAAAGUCUUCCCCUUAUCUCAUUUUCUUGGCUGCACCAGACAGAAAGUCCAACCCUCUUUCCCUACUCUUUUCCUUGUUCUUUGUUUCUUUCUUCUUCCCUUCUUACAUGGCAGCCCUCCCUCUCUCACCAAAACAAAAUAUCCCUCUCUAAAGAAGAAAUUAAAGGGUUAAAACUAAAAUUUCAGCUUCAAAUUUUUGGGGGUGUUACCAGUAUCCAAGUCUAAACUCCUUCGACUUUAGGCUCUCAGUUCCUCUGCUUUUAGGUAAGGGAUAAGUUAUAUGGGUAUUUGGUAAGUCAUGAGGUUAUUUUAAAGUAUAUUAUGCAUUAAAAGGUUUUUGAUUAGAGAUAUGACAUAUAAUCAUUAUUCUGACAAAUAUAUGUUCGUGAGUCUUUGAAACUUUAUGUAUAUGAUUUAAGUAUAUUGAUGCUAUUACUAAUUUCCACGAACAUGAUGUUUAAAGAAAAGAAUGGAAAUGCUAUUAUUAUGAAAUGUUAUGCAAAAUAAGAAAUUUCAGUAUGAUGUAAAGUAUGAAAUGUUUUCGGGUUAUGUUCUCUGGUGAUCUGAACUCUGCUAGUAGGGGUUAAUUACUAACUUCCCAUGGAAAACGUUAUAUGAUUGGCCAUUAUAAGUGGGAUUGGCUCUGCUGUACCCGCCCCUUGUUGGUUACGGCCAACUUGUGGGGGAAGCCAACCUAUCCCCAUGGUUGGAAGAUAUGUAUUAUGAUAUAAUCCCGAGAAUACCUGGCAUUGUGGGCAAUGCUGGAUGCCUAGCAUCGUGGUGCUAGAAGCCUUCCAAAUAAGUACAGACUUAUUAGAUAUGGGUUAACCAAUAAGUUAGUUAUGAACAACUAUAUUAUGUUAUUAAUCAUGAGAUAAUGAUUUUGUUAAAUGCAGUGUGAAAAGUUAAAAGCUCUCAUGAAAAUAAAAAGUUUCUGAUGAAAAGAAAGUUGUUCAUUAAAGAUAAAAGUUUCUGAAGUUCUAUUGUGCUAUAAAGAUAAAACUUCUGAUGAAAGUGCAAGUUAUGUUUGAAAGUUAUCAGAUACCUGUUCUUUAUGAAAUUUUAAGUUUAUUGACUAUGAAAGUUAUAAUAUUUUUCGAGAAAAUGUUUAUAAAGAAAGAUUUUCUUAUUGGGUCAAGAUGUUUCUAGUUUAAUACAAAGUUGCUGAUUAUCUGAUUUAAGUUAAAAUAAUUAUUUUGUAAUGAGAAUAUAUAUAUGAUGACUUUGUAGGAAAUGAAAGAAGUUUAAUCCGAAAGAUUUUGGUAAUAUUAACCCGAUAAGAAAAAGGAGAACAAUUAUUUUCUAUGAAGAGCGUAUAAGCUAUUAUUAUGACUAGUAUAAAAUACUAUGCAUGAAAAGAUGUUCUCUUGUUCGAAUAUUCAUAGAAUGAAUGAUUUGAUUUACAUGCAUCCUUAUUGAAUUCUCAUAUAUCUUACCUUUAUUGGGUUGUGUAGCUCACCCCUUCCACUCUUUCAGUUAGCAAGUUUUAUUUUGGAGCAAAGGGAGCCUUAGUUGAGUUUGGAAGGAGCUGGUUUUAGUUUUAUAUGUAUAGAUCCUAAAUUAGCAAUUUAAUGUUUAGAUUUAUAGUAUAGUUAAUUUUAGGAUCUAAUUAAAGUUGUGUACCUUAAAGUAUUAAGAGAUGUAUUAUGUAAAAUUCAGAAUUUGAGUAACUGGUGAAUUAUGUUA